UCCAGACUCCUACGGGAGGCAGCAGUGGGGGAUAUUGCACAAUGGGGGGAACCCUGAUGCAGCGACGCCGCGUGAGUGAAGAAGUAAUUCGUUAUGUAAAGCUCUAUCAGCAGGGAAGAAAAUGACGGUACCUGAGUAAGAAGCCCCGGCUAACUACGUGCCAGCAGCCGCGGUAAUACGUAGGGGGCAAGCGUUAUCCGGAUUUACUGGGUGUAAAGGGAGCGUAGACGGCAGUGCAAGUCUGGAGUGAAAGGCGGGGGCGCAACCCCCGGACUGCUCUUGGAACUGCGCGGCUGGAGUGCAGGAGGGGCAGGCGGAAUUCCUGGUGUAGCGGUGAAAUGCGUAGAUAUCAGGAGGAACACCGGUGGCGAAGGCGGCCUGCUGGACUGCGACUGACGUUGAGGCCCGAAAGCGUGGGGAGCAAACAGGAUUAGAUACCCUUGUAUGG
This 448-nucleotide ribosomal RNA is filed under the name uncultured bacterium. Its description in RNAcentral is "bacterial SSU rRNA". It matches the Rfam family "Bacterial small subunit ribosomal RNA", at positions 330 to 793 of the family's 1533-position model. The record is from RNAcentral.